CCCGCUGAACUUAAGCAUAUCAAUAAGCGCAGGAAAAGAAACCAACAGGGAUUACCUCAGUAACGGCGAGUGAAGCGGUAAUAGCUCAAAUUUGAAAUCUGGCCUCUUGGGGUCCGAGUUGUAAUUUGUAGAGGAUGUUUUGGGUACCGCCCCGGUUUAAAUUUCUUGGAACAGAAUGUCAAAGAGGGUGAGAAUCCCGUCUUGGACCGGUGGUAGGGCCUGUGUAAAACUCCUUCGACGAGUCGAGUUGUUUGGGAAUGCAGCUCAAAAUGGGUGGUAAAUUUCAUCUAAAGCUAAAUAUUGGCCAGAGACCGAUAGCGCACAAGUAGAGUGAUCGAAAGAUGAAAAGCACUUUGAAAAGAGAGUUAAACAGUAUGUGAAAUUGUUGAAAGGGAAGCGCUUGCAACCAGACUUGAGCGCGGCGGUUCCCCUGACCUUUUGGUUAGGCUAUUCCGUCGUGUCCAGGCCAACAUCGGUUCUGAGGGUCGGUCAAAGGCCUUGGGAAUGUAUCUACCCACGGGUAGACUUAUAGACCAGGGUGUCAUGCGGCCUCUCGGGACCGAGGAACGCGCUUCGGCUCGGAUGUUGGCGUAAUGGUUGUCAGCGACCCGUCUUGAAACACGG
Molecule: ribosomal RNA, 624 nt
Filed under: uncultured fungus
Lineage: Eukaryota; Fungi
Description: eukaryotic LSU rRNA
Rfam family: Eukaryotic large subunit ribosomal RNA
Source: RNAcentral